UACGAAGGGGGCUAGCGUUGCUCGGAUUUACUGGGCGUAAAGGGCGCGUAGGCGGAUCAGCAAGUUGGGGGUGAAAGCCCGGGGCUCAACCUCGGAACUGCCUUCAAAACUGUUGGACUUGAGUAUGAGAGAGGUGUGUGGAACUCCGGGUGUAGAGGUGAAAUUCAUAGAUAUUCGGAAGAACACCAGUGGCGAAGGCGACACACUGGCUCAUUACUGACGCUGAGGCGCGAAAGCGUGGGGAGCAAACAGG
This 253-nucleotide ribosomal RNA is filed under the name uncultured bacterium. RNAcentral's name for it is "partial 16S ribosomal RNA". It matches the Rfam family "Bacterial small subunit ribosomal RNA", at positions 524 to 776 of the family's 1533-position model. The record is from RNAcentral.